RNAcentral lists this ribosomal RNA (253 nucleotides) under uncultured bacterium. Its description in RNAcentral is "partial 16S ribosomal RNA". It matches the Rfam family "Bacterial small subunit ribosomal RNA", at positions 524 to 776 of the family's 1533-position model. The record is from RNAcentral.
UACGAAGGGGGCGAGCGUUGUUCGGAUUUACUGGGCGUAAAGGGCGCGUAGGCGGCCCUCCUUGUCGCGUGUGAAAGCCCCGGGCUCAACCUGGGAACGGCGCGCGAGACGGGGGGGCUGGAGUUCGGGAGAGGAGCGUGGAAUUCCCGGUGUAGAGGUGAAAUUCGUAGAUAUCGGGAGGAACACCGGUGGCGAAGGCGGCGACCUGGGUAGAUACUGACGCUGAGGCGCGAAAGCGUGGGGAGCAAACAGG